This is a long non-coding RNA of Apus apus (common swift), 1255 nucleotides long. RefSeq lists it as uncharacterized. The record is from RefSeq and is a predicted model, not a curated record. The transcript has 2 exons. Lineage: Eukaryota; Metazoa; Chordata; Aves; Apodiformes; Apodidae.
AAACCAGACGGCCACCCUUGGUAAAAAGGACUAACACAUAAGGAGUAAACAGGAUGGCAUUGUUUAGCAUAGAUAAGGUUUGGAAUGUAUAGAUAAGACUUAGAAUGUAUCGAUAAGGCUUGGAAUGCAAAUGAGGGUAUUGUGUGAGAGGAUGUUCCCCCAGAAACUUGCUGAGAAGGCAAGAACGUGGAGCUGACUCCAGAAAGGAAUGCCAGAGGUGAAAAGUGCACAGAGAGGAAGUCAUACGGCCUUCAUCUCAAAGACCCCCGCCCGCGACCUGCGCAGACGCAGCAAGGAGGGGUCCGGGGUGGCAACUAUGAUAAUGAUUUCCGGGAACUAAUUGUAAUAACCCCUCCCUUCCCUCGGACACCUAAUGUAUGUGCAACAACAUGGAUGAAUAUGUAUUACUUUGUGUCAUAUAAUGAGCUUGCCAACAGCUCUAGGGUGUGCACGUUUGUGGAGGAGCGAUCCCCCGUACACCUAGCGCUAAAUAAACAUACCUUCUUUAUAACCUUACUGGUUGUAAAGUCGUUAUUCCUCACGUCAUUUUGGCGACCCAGAUGGGACCCUCUUUGCUCGGCUGUGGGAACAACUGGGGAACGGACACCCUAGGCGCGCCCCGGGAUCUUCUCAGUAGGAGCUCCGCUCCCAGCCGUUCACUACGGGAGCAGACAAGGACCAUCUACAUUGCGGACAAAGCUUUCUUUUAACUAGCAGCAGUGUGUUCUGACUAAGGGCGAUAAGACAGUGGAAUGUUUUUCUAACUGCUGGGUCUUCAAGGUUGCAUCUUCAUUCUGCUGGCUCAGACACUACGGGGAGAUCUGUGACCCCCCCAUAGGGAGGCUGGACUAGACGGACAGCAAAAUUGGCCAGAGAUAUCCCAUUCCAUAUAUCUACGUAAGCUCAGAGGAAGGUCAGAGAUCACAGAAGACAACUUCCUUCCUGCUUCUCCUUUCAUCUAUGGCCGGCAUCCAGGGAGGACUCCAUGUAUCCAUCACCAUUGUCCCCUAGGCUGGUGCAUUCCUGACCCUCAUAACUCUACCCUCAGCUCCUGUCUGCUCUGCCACGCUCUCCAGCAGCAGUUUGGGACUUUUCAGGACUGUUCACAGCUAAGGAGAGUGCUAUGGGAAUUGCUGGGGGUGGGGGGGGAUGCAAUAGGCUUUUGCACAUUCAUGAACACGUUUGUAUAUAAUUGUACAUAUUUUCUUUUAUGUGUUUAAUUAAAGCUGUCUAGUCUAGUUUUCAAUCUAGAAAA